RNAcentral lists this ribosomal RNA (270 nucleotides) under uncultured prokaryote. RNAcentral's name for it is "partial 16S ribosomal RNA". It matches the Rfam family "Archaeal small subunit ribosomal RNA", at positions 474 to 743 of the family's 1478-position model. The record is from RNAcentral.
CACGUACUCCACAAGUGGUAUUCACUUAUAUUGGGCCUAAAGCGUCCGUAGCCUGUCCAAUAAGUCCUUGGUGAAAUCUGCAAGCUUAACUUGUAGAAUGGCUAAGGAUACUGCUGGACUCGAGACCGGGAGACGUCAAGAGAAUUUCAGGGGUAGCGGUGAAAUGUUGUGAUCCCUGAAGGACUACCAGUAGCGAAGGCGCUUGACGAGAACGGGUCUGACGGUGAGGGACGAAAGCUGGGGGAGCGACCCGGAUUAGAUACCCCUGUA